GAUGUAGAACGCAGCGAAAUGCGAUAAGUAAUGUGAAUUGCAGAAUUCAGUGAAUCAUCGAAUCUUUGAACGCACAUUGCGCCCGCCAGCAUUCUGGCGGGCAUGCCUGUUCGAGCGUCAUUUCAACCCUCGAGCCCCCCCGGGGGCCUCGGUGUUGGGGGACGGCACACCAGCCGCCCCCGAAAUGCAGUGGCGACCCCGCCGCAGCCUCCCCUGCGUAGUAGCACACACCUCGCACCGGAGCGCGGAGGCGGUCACGCCGUAAAACGCCCAACUUUCUUAGAGUUGACCUCGGAUCAGGUAGGAAUACCCGCUGAACUUAAGCAUAUCAAUAAGCGGAGGA
Molecule: unclassified non-coding RNA, 343 nt
Filed under: soil metagenome
Description: partial contains 5.8S ribosomal RNA, internal transcribed spacer 2, and large subunit ribosomal RNA
Rfam family: 5.8S ribosomal RNA (bases 1-120)
Source: RNAcentral